UAGGGAAUCUUCCACAAUGGACGCAAGUCUGAUGGAGCAACGCCGCGUGAGUGAAGAAGGUUUUCGGAUCGUAAAGCUCUGUUGUUGGUGAAGAAGGAUAGAGGCAGUAACUGGUCUUUAUUUGACGGUAAUCAACCAGAAAGUCACGGCUAACUACGUACCAG
This 164-nucleotide ribosomal RNA is filed under the name uncultured bacterium. RNAcentral describes it as "partial 16S rRNA". It matches the Rfam family "Bacterial small subunit ribosomal RNA", at positions 355 to 511 of the family's 1533-position model. The record is from RNAcentral.